AAACGUGUAAGGCAGGGGAAUACGACUGCAAAUUUCGACCUCUUGCACUGGUACAUUGCUAAUUUAGUGAUCAAUGACAGUGACGAUUCUUCUCAUGAUUCGCUCUGCUGAUUUGAUGCUUUAAUUAUCUAUAUGCUUCUGGAAAUUGUAUGCGUUGUUUGUCAACAGUUGACAUUUAGAUGGCAGAGGUAGUAUAGAUGCUUUCUAGGUUGAAGUUUAUUUUCCACCGAAUUAAUGCGGUUGAUUUUCUCCAAAAUGAAAAAUAAAAAUUAUCUGCGGACUUUAGAUACGCCUGCAGACGUCCCGAUCUGUCUGUGCAAGGUGUUUAUUGAGAUUUAUUGCCUGAGAAGGUAGUAAUAAUGAUAUUUCUAGAUGAUUCUUAAUUAGAAGUUUGACAAUUUGCUAUAAGUGAAACUUAUCAAAUCUUGUGGGAGUGUUAGUGCAAUAGUAAGGACAUUGUAUGUAUUUUGGAAUCACGAAGCAUGCAAAAUUUCGAAAAGAUAAGUUAUAGUAGCAUUUUAUUGAUUAGGACAGAAGAUGAACUCCAGAGAAGUGUUUUCAGUGUUAAAAUUAGUUAUAUUUCUAUUUUCUUGUCUAUGUGGAUAAGUUGAUUAAGGAGAAACAAUAAGUUACAAAAAAAAAGUGUUUCUGGAAAGGGGAAGCUCACAAGUCAUUUGCAAUUGCAACCUAGUUUGGAGCAGUGGUAGCUCGACCAAAAUAAAGAAAAUACUCUAGAUACAAAAUGAACCUUUCCACUUAGAUAGGUGUGAGGAAAAAAGGCUUUUGAUCAAAUACAUCUAUCCUCAUUGAGAGGAGCUGGAAACCCGAAGAUGGAAGAAUUCAUUUGAAGUCAUUAUAAUGCACUUACUUAACAAAGAGCGGUGUAGGUUUCAGAGAAUGGAAAAAAAGAAAAGAAAAAGAAGAUCAAAUAGACAUGGAAUAACCUGUGGAGGCUUUCCUCCCAUCGUUAUUCUCCAAAAUUGCCUCUAUGUUGACUGAUUGAGACUUGACUUGGGAUAGCAGAAAACCAUAUUUAUCCCAAAUCCUUUUACCUCAUUUGUGUUUUGAACUUGAGCUGGUAUAAGAAGUGAACAUAAAGACAUGCCUUUUGAUGAAAAAAACCUGAGGUGGAUCUGGAUUCUUAAUCUGAUAAAGACAGACCUGCUUGUCAAUCUGCAAAUUCAUUGAGAGAUGGUGCAAUAAGCAAAAGGGUUGGUGUAGUUUUGCAAAUGUAUUAAACUAGAGAUAUCAGUAGCUACUAUUACUAUUACUAUACAACACGUUUUAUAAACUAACUCUGUAUAAGUUAUUGUUGCAGAUAUGGUUUGAUUCGAUCAUUGAUUAUUAGGGAUUUUUUAUCCAUUAUAAUAUGCUAUACAGAUAAGCAAACCUUACAGUAACGAUAAUGGGAAGAAGGAUCCAUCAAGUCUUCAACAUGCCAACCGGGGAGAGUCUCCAUUAAGUACUCCGAUAUGCUACUGGUCGAGUCUGAAGCUUGCUCACCGGUGGGCAGGCUCGACUCAUUCUCCCUCGUAGGGUUUGAUGAUGUCUCUGAACAAUUUGCAUUAUUUGAGUUUGCAUUAGCGACUGAAGUUCUGAACUCUAUUCCAGAUUGUGAACCACUGGAUGACGUAGCACCUUGAUACGAAGAAAUGGCUGCAGAAAGCUUGACCCCAGUUAGAAGAAACCUAUUAUGUUUCUUGGUGAGUUCGUUGGCCUUGUGUAUUGGUACAUCACAUUCUCGACAAAGUAAAGCCCUGUCUUCUUGACAAAACAGUAACGCUUGUCUUUCCUGUACAAGUAUAUAUGAUUCCGUUACUCAAAUUAUCAGUUUGUUGUAAAAGAUUGUGCUCUUUUUGAAAAUCUCAACAUUGAAGUGGUGAUUCGAAACGAGUUAAUGACAAUGUAUGUUUAUAAACCUGGCAAAUGUCGCAGCGUGGAGAUUCUUUCAACUGAGGAUUAAGAAGAGAGAAACGAGGAUGCUUGCUCGCGAGCUUAUUGGCGUUAUGAACUCGGUCGUCGCAAUUCUGGCAGAGGGCGGCUUCAUCGGCUGUGCAGAAUACGGCUGCUGCUUCUUUCCCACAAACGUCGCAUUGAAUCUUCAUUU
RNAcentral lists this long non-coding RNA (2107 nucleotides) under Salvia miltiorrhiza (redroot sage). RNAcentral's name for it is "long non-coding RNA (SMIL_LNC012045)". Lineage: Eukaryota; Viridiplantae; Streptophyta; Magnoliopsida; Lamiales; Lamiaceae. The record is from RNAcentral.